GGAGAGAUGGCCGAGUUGGUCUAAGGCGCACGACUGGAAAUCGUGUAAACCCUAACCGGUUUCAUGGGUUCGAAUCCCAUUCUCUCCGCCA
Molecule: transfer RNA, 91 nt
Filed under: Clostridia bacterium
Lineage: Bacteria; Bacillati; Bacillota; Clostridia
Also listed under: 1 other name
Description: tRNA-Ser
Rfam family: tRNA
About the family: Transfer RNA (tRNA) molecules are approximately 80 nucleotides in length. Their secondary structure includes four short double-helical elements and three loops (D, anti-codon, and T loops). Further hydrogen bonds mediate the characteristic L-shaped molecular structure. tRNAs have two regions of fundamental functional importance: the anti-codon, which is responsible for specific mRNA codon recognition, and the 3' end, to which the tRNAs corresponding amino acid is attached (by aminoacyl-tRNA synthetases). tRNAs cope with the degeneracy of the genetic code in two manners: having more than one tRNA (with a specific anti-codon) for a particular amino acid; and 'wobble' base-pairing, i.e. permitting non-standard base-pairing at the 3rd anti-codon position.
Source: RNAcentral